CCUACGGGAGGCUGCAGUAGGGAAUAUUGCUCAAUGGGGGAAACCCUGAAGCAGCAACGCCGCGUGGAGGAUGAAGGUUUUCGGAUUGUAAACUCCUUUUGUUAGAGAAGAUAAUGACGGUAUCUAACGAAUAAGCACCGGGUAACUCGGGGCCAGCAGCCGCGGGAAUCCGGAGGGUGCAAGCGGUACUCGGAAUCACGGGGCGUAAAGAGCGGGUAGGGGGGAUAGGAAGUCAGAUGUGAAAUCCUAGGGCUUAACGAUAGAACUGCAGUGGAAACUGUUGUUCGUGAGUGGGGGAGAGGUAGGUGGAAGUCGUGGUGUAGGGGGGAAAUGCGUAGAGAGCAAGAGGAA
Molecule: ribosomal RNA, 351 nt
Filed under: uncultured bacterium
Lineage: Bacteria
Description: partial 16S ribosomal RNA
Rfam family: Bacterial small subunit ribosomal RNA
Source: RNAcentral